RNA transcript from Panicum virgatum (switchgrass), 2488 nucleotides. RefSeq lists it as uncharacterized. The record is from RefSeq and is a predicted model, not a curated record. Lineage: Eukaryota; Viridiplantae; Streptophyta; Magnoliopsida; Poales; Poaceae. The transcript is spliced from 7 exons.
CUUGCAUGAUCGACGAAAAUCACGAGCGCAGCGACAGGCCGCCGGGCGUUGCGGUUCCGCCAGCUCGUCCUCGUCGUCCACAUCUCCAGUCUCCACUCCUCUCCCCACGACAGCGCAGAUCCCCACCCAUUAAUCAAACAGGCGCACGCUUCGCCCCGAAAUCAACCCUCCAAUCAGCAGGAUUUAUUGAAGGACUGGGCUUUGUGAGGAAAGAUGGAUUCCAAAAAGAAGAGGAACAAGAAGAAGAAAGGAAACCAAGGGAAGAACGCCGCUGAUGUGACGUCCAACGUUGGAGAAGCUGCUCCCCAGGGACACAAUCAUGAGUCAGCCCCAAAAGACCAUUAUAAAGGUUCUGAUGCAGAUGAUGCCAUGUCCAGUGUUGGAGAGGGAGUUCCUCAGUACCAGAAUCACGAGGCGACUCUGCAGUCAGAUCAUAAUGGCACAAAUGCCUAUGAUACUACAUCCUCUAUUGGAGAGGGGAUUCCAUGCUACCAGGACACUGAACCUACGCAAACACAAGAGAAUCACAAAGCCAGAGAUGCAGUCCCUGCAGAUCAGAGGAGCAUUGGGAUGUCAGAGUCUAGUGUGGAGCUUGACAUGCACAGACUUUAUGAAGCCAAACUCGAUAAACUACAUGUGAAAAUAAAGCAGUUGGAGGAUGAAAAGAGUUUAUGGCUUCAAAAAGGGAGCACCAUGGAGAGUGAGCUUGAAAAGUUGCAUAGCAAAGUGGGUUUUCAUGCGCAAAAUGAGGCACUUUUGGAGGAAAAAUUGAAUAUUCUACAGAUUGGUUACGAUAAGCUGAUUAAGAAGGAGGUAUUUAAUGUUUCCUCGGCUGAUUUCUUUAUUUGUGUCGGGGUAUGAUUCAGGGGUAGAAUAGUGUUAAGGGUAUAAUAGUCAAGGGUAGUUUAGUCUUUUCCUAUUCUAGGGUUUGGGUGCUCUCAUGUACUAUAUUAUCCCCUUUGGGACUAUCCAAUACAUACACACAGUCAAUUCUCUUCUCGUCUCAAUUCCUAACAAAUAGCAACCUGGGGAGCUAGGACCAUGUCCUUGGUACAGGUUUAAGAUGCCUAUAGGCUAUAAAAGUACACAAUAUGCCCUGGGAAAGAGUGAAAUACAGUGCAGCACCUUUUGUUUUCCUGAUGAUCUUGAAACCCCAAAUUGAGGAGAUAACUUUUAGUUUUAAUAAUCUAGGGCUAUCAACCCAGAUAGCGUAUUUUCUUCUUCUUAAUACAGACUUACAAAGAUGCACAGCCCUCCUGCAUACUAAUUAGGCUUCAAUUGUUUAAUGUUGCCAAAACACCACCGUGUUUCUCUUUCCUUUACAUGAUUUUGUUGAAAGUCUUGUUUGGUGAUUCCAUGGAGGAAGUUUUGGGUAAUAAAGUCAGGUGCAUAGAUAACAUCAAUGGCACCUUAACUCAUCAAGAGGUAACACUCAUUUGAAGGCUUUUUCUUUCUUUCAAUUGGCUGAUGUGUAACUGAUUUUCUUAGGCUUUGCUUAAAGAAAGAUUAAAUGAGCUGGAGGAAACAAAGAAAACUCUGGUGGCACAGUCUGGCAGGUGAAGGUGCUGGAGGAAGCUUCAAGCAAUACUUCUGCGGGAAAUCACAUGCUGGUAAAAAAAUUGGAUGAACUGGAUUCAAGACUACAAGCACUCGAAGCUAGGGCUGCUCUUAGUGAAGCCUUGGAAAAAGUAAAGGGUAAUGAACUGAUUGCUGAGAGAGGUCUGAGCAGUUCAGUGGAACUUAUUACUGAUAAUAGCUAUCGUCAAAUCAACAAUACUCCCAGCAAUGCAUAUGCUAGUAAUCAUCCGCAGGAAACAUCAAUACAGCUUCCAGAAACAGGAACCAGCAAUAGUAUUGCCCAAGCUCACGUUGAUGUUAAUGAGCAUCGAUUUGAUGGACCAACAAGUGAAGAAAUUGUGUCAGUUCCAUUGGAUGAUAUACAGAUUCAUGAGGAUGACCCACGGCAACCAGGAGCAGAAGAUGAGAUAGAUGAGGUUCCAUUUUCUGAUGCCCCAAUCACUGGUGCUCCAUUCCGAUUGAUCUCAUUUGUUGCUAGGUAUGUCAGUGGUGCUGACUUGGUGACCAAGAAAUAACUGUCUGCGUAUCAAGAAGACCGGGAUGCCAGGAUGAGUCUCUUUUUGAUGAUGCUGGUUAAUUUUUGAGUAUGUUAAGAUAGGAAUGGGUGGAUUGGAUUCAGCAGAGAUAUGAAAGCUCUGUUCAUUCUUGGUAGUGCUCAUGAGUCAUGUCACUGCCAUUCUUCUCUGUUCCCCUGUGCUUUUUUUCUGGCGCAGGAGGAAUUCGUGUUCCUUGAUUUGUACAAGAGGCUACCAUGGCCCUUCCAGACUGGUCUAACCAUGUGAAAUUGAAAGUUGUAUUGGCUAGAGAUAACGUUAACAGCUGAAAUUUUGGUAUACUGCAUACACCAGGAUGUAAUAGAUCCAUUGACAAUGUAACCUGUGGAAGAUAGCUAAAUGCUUUGAUUAUUGCA